This 1170-nucleotide ribosomal RNA is filed under the name uncultured Rozellomycota. RNAcentral describes it as "SSU rRNA". It matches the Rfam family "Eukaryotic small subunit ribosomal RNA", at positions 474 to 1707 of the family's 1831-position model. Lineage: Eukaryota; Fungi; Rozellomycota. The record is from RNAcentral.
UAAAUAACAAUGCAGAGCCCUUUGGGCUUUGCAAUUGGAAUGAGAACAAUUUAAAUCCCUUAUCGAGUAACAAUUGGAGGGCAAGUCUGGUGCCAGCAGCCGCGGUAAUUCCAGCUCCAAUAGCGUAUAUUAAAGUUGUUGCAGUUAAAAAGCUCGUAGUUGAACUUGAUGCAAGCUUGGUCUGGACAUUUGUCUGGACUGGGUGAGCUCUUUUCGGGGGAUGCGUCACUUGUGGCGAGGAACCCACGUUACUGUGAAGAAAUUAGAGUGUUUAAAGCAGGCGAUCGCUUGAAUACAUUAGCAUGGAAUAACAAGAUAGGACUUGGUUCUACUUGUUGGUUUGGGGGCCAGAGUAAUGAUUAAUAGGGCCAGUCGGGGGCAUUAGUAUUCAGCAGUCAGAGGUGAAAUUCUUGGAUUUGCUGAAGACUAACUAGUGCGAAAGCAUUUGCCAAGGAUGUUUUCAUUAAUCAAGAACGAAAGUUAGGGGAUCGAAGACGAUCAGAUACCGUCGUAGUCUUAACUAUAAACGAUGCCGACUCGGGAUCGGCAGGAUUCGUUCGCGAACCUGUCGGCACCGUGUGAGAAAUCAAAGUUUUUGGGUUCUGGGGGGAGUAUGGUCGCAAGGCUGAAACUUAAAGGAAUUGACGGAAGGGCACCACCAGGAGUGGAGCCUGCGGCUUAAUUUGACUCAACACGGGAAAACUCACCAGGUCCGGACAUGGUAAGGAUUGACAGAUUGAGAGCUCUUUCUUGAUUCUGUGGGUGGUGGUGCAUGGCCGUUCUUAGUUGGUGGAGUGAUUUGUCUGGUUAAUUCCGAUAACGAACGAGACCUUAACCUGCUAACUAGUGCUGGUUACGAGAGUAGCCAGUGACUUCUUAGAGGGACUGACUAUGUUUAAUAGUCGGAAGUUUGAGGCAAUAACAGGUCUGUGAUGCCCUUAGAUGUUCUGGGCUGCACGCGCGCUACACUGACAAAGGCAGCGAGUAUACCUUGACCGAGAGGUUUGGGAAAUCUUGUUAAACUUUGUCGUGCUGGGGAUAGAUCAUUGCAAUUAUUGGUCUUGAACGAGGAAUUCCUAGUAAGCGCAUGUCAUCAGCAUGCGUUGAUUACGUCCCUGCCCUUUGUACACACCGCCCGUCGCUACUACCGAUUGAAUGGCUUAGUGAGGC